This 254-nucleotide ribosomal RNA is filed under the name uncultured bacterium. RNAcentral describes it as "partial 16S ribosomal RNA". It matches the Rfam family "Bacterial small subunit ribosomal RNA", at positions 524 to 776 of the family's 1533-position model. The record is from RNAcentral.
GACGAACCAUGCGAACGUUAUUCGGAAUCACUGGGCUUAAAGCGCGUGUAGGCGGGCCGCCACGUCGGCUGCUGAAAUCCCCCGGCUCAACCGGGGAAGUGGCACCGAUACGAGCGGCCUCGAGGGGGGUAGGGGGGUCUGGAACUUCCGGUGGAGCGGUGAAAUGCGUUGAGAUCGGAAGGAACGCCCGUGGCGAAAGCGAGGUCCUGGACGUUUUCUGACGCUGAGACGCGAAAGCCAGGGGAGCAAACGGG